This 667-nucleotide ribosomal RNA is filed under the name uncultured archaeon. RNAcentral's name for it is "bacterial SSU rRNA". It matches the Rfam family "Archaeal small subunit ribosomal RNA", at positions 110 to 770 of the family's 1478-position model. The record is from RNAcentral.
UGCCUUUAGGUAAGGGAUAAUCUCGGGAAACUGAGGAUAAUACCUUAUAAGAAGUGAGAUCUGGAACGCCUUACUUCUCAAAGUUUCGGCGCCUAAGGAUGGGACUGCGCCUGAUUAGGCUGUUGGUGGUGUAAUGGACCACCAAACCUGUGAUCAGUACGGGCCAUGAGAGUGGUAGCCCGGAGAAGGGGACUGAGACAAGGCCCCUAGCCCUACGGGGUGCAGCAGUUACGAAACCUUUACAAUGCACGAAAGUGUGAUAAGGGAAUCCCAAGUGCCAUGGCUAUGCUAUGACUGUGGAGAAGUGUAAAGUACUUUUCAAGAAAGGGGUGGGUAAUACCGGUGCCAGCAGCCGCGGUAAUACCGGAGCCUCGAGUGGUGGCCGCGUUUAUUGGGCCUAAAGCGCUCGUAGCCGGAUUAGUAAGUUCUCGGUGAAAUUGUCUAGCUUAACUGGACGAAUUGCCUUGAAUACUGCUAGUCUAGGGAUAGGGAAAGGUCAGAAGUAUGCCAGGGGGGAGGGGUUAAAAUUCCUUUAAAUCCUUGGUAGACUAUCAAUGGCCGAAAGGGCACUUGGACUGAAACUAGUUCCGACGGUGAGGGACGAAAGCUAGGUAGCAAACCGGAUUAGAAUAACCCCGGUAGUCUUAGCUGUAACGCUGCCCGCUGG